UUGUGUUUUCUUCUGAUUUUCUUUCUGUAAUUGAUAGAAGAAAUCCAGCCCUUCCUAUAUUUAAAACUAGGGUUUUGAUUUCAUUCUUGAACACAUGUUAUUAAGAAGGAUAACAGGCACAGUAACAUCCAACUUUCGGUAACCGAAAACGAAAAAGAGAGAAAGAAAGGUGAUAGCAAGAGAGAGAGAUAAAAAAGUGAACGCAAUUUUAUUAAAGAUUCCCACCAUUUAACAUUUUAAACCAUAUCUUCAUCUGAAUGAUUGUCAACGAGAACUUUUUAGCUCCCACUAAAUGGAAUUUGAGUUUGAAUUAAAGUGUUUCAUUAGUCAAAUAUCAUGUUUAAGAUUAUUUAUAAGCUAGCUGUCGAUGCUGCAGCCUGUGGAUGGCGAAAGUCUUCACAGGGGAGGAAGAAAAUGCAGCAAGGUAUAAGAAUAAAGAGGAGGUGCAGCUGGGCUGGCUAGUAUUCGUGGGAUCAGAGAAGACACAAGAGUGUGGGUUUGUUGUGUUGGUGGGUGUUCUUGAAGGGUACACUAUCUGAGAGAUGCGAGCUGCUUGCUAGCAUAAAGUCAAAUGUGUUACUGGGAGUUUAUGGUAUAUAUCGAGCUGCUCCUAGAAUGAUAAUGGAGGUCCGUGCAUGCAGGAGGAGUCAAGCUAGAAUGUCAAUGGAGGUCCGUGCAGACAAUCUUUCAAUAUUAAAAAAAUGCAAUAAAUCGGGAACGAUGAAGAUAAGAUUUGGCCGAUGGAGGUCCAUUGGUCUGCGCACCAAUGAUUCUUAUAUCUGAAAACGGGCAUGGAGACAGCUACUGCGGAAUUCCACUUCAUCGGCUCCAUGAGAGUUUAAAAAUUCAAAAAUUUUAAAAAAUAUAGUUAGACUAUAGUGUCAAACAGGUGAGCUGAAACAUGCUGACUUGCAAGGCUCAUGAUGAUGGAUAGAAUCAUUCAAAUUAGCAAGAGUGCUUGUUGAUUCACGAGCAACUCUUUUGGAUGUUAAACUCGGAAGCUAGCUUCAGGAAUCUCUACAACAAGAAGAAAUCUAGCAACUAUUGACUGUUACGGAGAUGAUAUAUCUGGGGGCAAAGGGAAGGGUAAGAAUUUCCAACGCCUUGUUCAACACAUUAUCUGGGAUUAUCUCUCAGAUUUCCUAGUCAGCCACGUUCAGUACUCUCAAAUAAUGCUUGAAAGCGAUGGCAGGAGCAUUCCCGAAACCAUAUUUAUUAAAUGAAUAAAGUUAGGAGAUGAAUAAAGUUCAUUGUCAAACCGACAAGUUAGGAGAUGAAUAAAGUUCUGUGAAAUUUUAUUAAAUGAA
This is a long non-coding RNA of Populus trichocarpa (black cottonwood), 1307 nucleotides long. RefSeq lists it as uncharacterized. The record is from RefSeq and is a predicted model, not a curated record. The transcript is spliced from 2 exons. Lineage: Eukaryota; Viridiplantae; Streptophyta; Magnoliopsida; Malpighiales; Salicaceae.